Molecule: long non-coding RNA, 635 nt
Organism: Symphalangus syndactylus (siamang)
Lineage: Eukaryota; Metazoa; Chordata; Mammalia; Primates; Hylobatidae
Source: RefSeq, a predicted model, not a curated record
UUCUUGGACUCUGUGAGGCUGAGAACCCCAGGUCACAGGACACGAGGCUUGCCACCAUCUUGGAAGCAGUCUGCCACCAUUUUGGAAGCGGUCCACCACCAUCUUGGGAGCUCUGGGAGCAAGGACCACCCGGUAACAAUAGGCCAACUACUAUACUGAUAAGCUUGAAAGCCUGCCCUGAAUCCUCAUCUAUUGAUGGAGAUGGUGUCAUCUUGCCUUGAUUGUAUCCAGAAGCUUCAUCCCCAAGAUAAAGGAUGGACACCUCUCAGAUGACCAGCUUCUUUUGCUCGACUCUAGAGAAGGUUGCUUUCUGCAUUCUGGCAACUGCCCUCUGUCUACAUGAUUAGACUCGUUGGUUGCAGUGCUUUCUGGAGUAAUGAAGGGAUCCAGUGCACAGGGCUUAACUUACUGGGCACAGUCUCUAAGCCACCUCCGCCUGAAUGGGUCCCCUGUUUUUUCUCUUCUGCUCUUGUUGAACCAUAUCGCUGUUCCUUGUGCUCCAGGGAAUUUCUUGCUCUGGUCAUGAAAAAAAUGGAAACUCUCUCAAGGACUAACAAUCAGAGCUGUCUGGUUGACAAGGGACGUUAUGGUUGCAAGAACACCCUGAAGCAAGGAUUCUACAUCAAAGAUUCAGG